AGGACGAACGCUGGCGGCGUGCUUAACACAUGCAAGUCGAGCGGUGGUCCUCCUUCGGGAGGUGAUCAGCGGCGAACGGGUGAGUAACACGUGGGCAACCUGCCCCUCACACUGGGAUAACCUCGGGAAAACCGGGGCUAAUACCGGAUACGACCUCGAGCGGCAUCUCUUGAGGUGGAAAGCUCCGACGGUGAGGGAUGGGCCCGCGGCCUAUCAGCUUGUUGGUGGGGUAAUGGCCUACCAAGGCGACG
Molecule: ribosomal RNA, 251 nt
Filed under: uncultured bacterium
Lineage: Bacteria
Description: partial small subunit ribosomal RNA
Rfam family: Bacterial small subunit ribosomal RNA
Source: RNAcentral